CCGUCCUAUUUGGCUCCAUUUCAGUGAAUGCGAGUGCCAGCUUGGGGAGCAGCCAUUCACCGCGACACCGGGGGCUGCCAAAGCUGAUGCCGCACUCCAGCAUCAAUGGCUUCUCUGUGCGUCUCUCGAGGAAGAGCUUUCUCUCCCUCGACCCGAUUCAUCGUGCCGUAAUCAAGAUGUUUUAUUGUUUAUACGUUUUUUUACAGCUGCUGAGUGCGUGCGUUUCGCGAUGCAUUAGCGCGGCACUGUGAACGGCAAAACAAAAACGGGGUCUCUUGGCACGAGGAGAACGGGGCCAUGUGUGAGGAUAUAACGCUGACAGUAAAAGUUUAAUGGCAUCGUCUGUUAGUCACAGGACGGAUCGGCUGAACAGAGACUCCAUCACUCUUCAGAUCACCGGGAGGAGAAGGAGGCUUCAACCAAACUCCAGAGUGACACAGAACCCUGUGCAAACUAUUCUUAUUCUUAUUUAUUUCUGCCGCCCCGGUGGUCCGACCCCUCGAACCUCUGCAGGUGUCCGCCGAUCGCCGCCUGAAUUAACGGUUACCACGUUUUUUUUGUUUGUUUCUUCCCUCGCAGGACGAAAUGUCCUCACAAGCUCUCGGGGGCACGCGUCUAAAUUAAGCUCGGCCUGUGAGAGGGUCUCACAGGGGAACACGCGAAGUGAAUCUGUGUGAGCGGCCCCGUGUUGUGGCGAGGGCCACCCAACGGACCGGCCCGCAUCCUCGCCGCCCCGGGUACCCGGGUACCUAAGACGGGGACCCACAGGUUUGAUGACACAAGUUACCUGGUUGCAUUACAUCAGAGGUCCCCCAAACUGAUGGCGAGGUGGAGCAGGGACCCCCUAUUCUACGGAGUUUGGUCCGCCAUCUUUUCUUUUCGAGCUUCACGCUCUUUAGACGUGAGCAUGAGCGCGAUCUGAUUGGCUGGCGCCUGCGCGGUCGUAUCCGCAUGAAAGGAGCCGUGAGUGAAGCGGUGCUGAGGGAAGCUGAGUGUGUGCGUUGACAGGUGACGUCUUCUCCGUCAAUUUAUCCGCUCGCUUCAAUACGUUGGAUUCAUGUUAACGUGGAUUUAAAGACCAGAAAUAAAAGUCUGGUUUUGGUUUUCUGGUUCUGAAGACAUUUACAUUUGUGGGGGAAAAAAUUGUCUUAUCAACCAAAAAUUUCGCGACCUCCCCUGCAGUACCUUCGCGGACCCCUUGGGGGUCGCCGACCCCCUGUUGAAGACCUCUGCAUUACAUGAUUUGAGAUAAGAAUGAGGGGAAAGUUUGGUUUGGUGCACAAAUCCAUCAUGUUUUUUGUUAAAACGACUUCUUCCUCUUACAAACGAUGUGACAGUUAAAAUAAAAAUGAACUUCAAAACAUCAGGAAAUGAAUCUCGAUGC
Long non-coding RNA from Gasterosteus aculeatus aculeatus (three-spined stickleback), 1384 nucleotides. Lineage: Eukaryota; Metazoa; Chordata; Actinopteri; Perciformes; Gasterosteidae. The record is from Ensembl.